RNAcentral lists this ribosomal RNA (351 nucleotides) under uncultured bacterium. RNAcentral's name for it is "bacterial SSU rRNA". It matches the Rfam family "Bacterial small subunit ribosomal RNA", at positions 8 to 350 of the family's 1533-position model. The record is from RNAcentral.
AGAGUUUGAUCAUGGCUCAGGAUGAACGCUAGCUACAGGCUUAACACAUGCAAGUCGAGGGGAAACGACAUCGAAAGCUUGCUUUUGAUGGGCGUCGACCGGCGCACGGGUGAGUAACGCGUAUCCAACCUGCCCACCACUUGGGGAUAACCUUGCGAAAGUAAGACUAAUACCCAAUGACGUCUCUAGAAGACAUCUGAAAGAGAUUAAAGAUUUAUCGGUGAUGGAUGGGGAUGCGUCUGAUUAGCUUGUUGGCGGGGUAACGGCCACAAGGCGACGAUCAGUGGCCGACCUGAGAGGGUGACCGGCACAUUGGGACUGAGACACGGCCCAGACUCCGUACGGGAGGCA